UGAGGAAUAUUGGGCAAUGGAGGCAACUCUGACCCAGCCAUGCCGCGUGCAGGAAGACGGCCCUACGGGUUGUAAACUGCUUUUAUACAGGAAGAACACCACCCACGUGUGGGUGACUGACGGUACUGUAAGAAUAAGGACCGGCUAACUCCGUGCCAGCAGCCGCGGUAAUACGGAGGGUCCGAGCGUUAUCCGGAAUCAUUGGGUUUAAAGGGUCCGUAGGCGGGCUAAUAAGUCAGAGGUGAAAGUUUGCAGCUCAACUGUAAAAUUGCCUUUGAUACUGUUAGUCUUGAGUUAUAGUGAAGUGGUUAGAAUAAGUGGUGUAGCGGUGAAAUGCAUAGAUAUCACUUAGAAUACCGAUUGCGAAGGCAGAUCACUAACUGUAUACUGACGCUGAGGGACGAAAGCAUGGGUAGCGAACGGG
Molecule: ribosomal RNA, 424 nt
Filed under: uncultured bacterium
Lineage: Bacteria
Description: bacterial SSU rRNA
Rfam family: Bacterial small subunit ribosomal RNA
Source: RNAcentral